GAUGAACGCUGGCGGCGUGCCUAAUACAUGCAAGUCGAGCGAACAGACGAGGAGCUUGCUCCUCUGACGUUAGCGGCGGACGGGUGAGUAACACGUGGAUAACCUACCUAUAAGACUGGGAUAACUUCGGGAAACCGGAGCUAAUACCGGAUAAUAUAUUGAACCGCAUGGUUCAAUAGUGAAAGACGGUUUUGCUGUCACUUAUAGAUGGAUCCGCGCCGCAUUAGCUAGUUGGUAAGGUAACGGCUUACCAAGGCAACGAUGCGUAGCCGACCUGAGAGGGUGAUAGGCCACACUGGAACUGAGACACGGUCCAGACUCCUACGGGAGGCAGCAGUAGGGAAUCUUCCGCAAUGGGCGAAAGCUUGACGGAGCAACGCCGCGUGAGUGAUGAAGGUCUUCGGAUCGUAAAACUCUGUUAUUAGGGAAGAACAAAUGUGUAAGUAACUAUGCACGUCUUGACGGCACCUAAUCAGAAAGCCACGGCUAACUACGUG
This 497-nucleotide ribosomal RNA is filed under the name uncultured bacterium. RNAcentral describes it as "partial 16S ribosomal RNA". It matches the Rfam family "Bacterial small subunit ribosomal RNA", at positions 28 to 507 of the family's 1533-position model. The record is from RNAcentral.